This 1897-nucleotide long non-coding RNA is filed under the name Macaca fascicularis (crab-eating macaque). Its description in RNAcentral is "lncRNA (ENSMFAG00000051738.1)". The record is from RNAcentral. Lineage: Eukaryota; Metazoa; Chordata; Mammalia; Primates; Cercopithecidae.
UUUUUUUUUUUUUCUUUGCCGAAAAGCCCUAAUGCCAACGUCGCUGUCCUGCUAUUGGAACCGCCCACCUCAGGCUCAGUGGCCCUCCUGUUUCUGGGCUGCUGCAGUGUUGUGUUGGGGUAACUGUAUUAACUUCGUUUGAAUUUUCUUCCUGUUCUUUUGGAAUAAGUGUUGAUAGUUUGUGCUGCUUGUUCACCCCAGAGGCGAGGAUGUCCUUUAGGCCUGGAGGAGCACAGCCCCUGGAGGGAGGUGCCGGGCCUCUACCUCUCAUGUCAUCAGCAGCCCUCUCCACACGUCUCCUCUUCGCUCCUCGUGCCCACGGCUGGGGUCACGGGCCGCUCGCUCUGCUGUUUGAGAUCCUCGGAAAAGAUGUUUGCCCUGAAGAGAGGUUGGGGGUGUGUGGCUGAUUUUAAAUAGGAGGAAAUGAUUGUAACAGAAUGAGCAAUGCCUAGCACUUAGUCUCAGGCUUGAGAAAUUGUGUUUUAGAAGCAAGGUAUCCCCAACUCCGGUUUCCUUCAAAUUAAAUCUUUUAAAGAGUCCACAAAUAUAAAUAGUUAAAGCCUCCUCCACUCCCUCCACCUCUUCCGCCCCCUCCCCUUCUUCCUUCCCCUUCCCUUCUUCCUUCCUUCCUCUCCCCUUCUUCCUUCCUUCCUCUCCCCUUCUUCCUUCCUUCCUCUCCCCUUCUUCCUUCCUUCCUCCCCUUCUUCCUUCCUUCCUCCCUUUCCUCCUCCCUCCUCUUCCUCCUCUUCCCCCUCUUCCCCCUCCCUGUCCUUGGGCAACCUCCAUGGAACUCUGGUUCAAAGUCACUGGUCUGUGGGGCCGCCCAUUUGAUAGACGAGCACGCUGGGGACCAGACACAAGUGACUGACUCAGACCAGCUCGCAUGUCGUCUCCUGCCUCCCAUAACACCGGGUUGUCCCUAAUGGAAGAGAAUCAAUGAUGCUGCUUCACUGAUCUCCAGGGAAAACAGGUUGAUAACAGGUUAUAAACAUGGGAAUGUUUUGGAAAAAGCGUCGUCCACUUGUCAGCUCCAUCUCUCCUGCCCGGAAGAUGUAGGGGAAACCUGCCUUCAGCCCACCCUCAUCCCAUAACAGGACAGAGGACAAAGGGGCAGAGACCCAGGUCCUGUCAGUGCCCUCAGGAAACCCCCCAUUUCCUCCUCAUGGUGGAAGUGGGAACCAUCCCACUGGACUAGAUUUUCCCGGGAAGCCUCUUCACCCCGAAAGCAAGGAAUCUGGUUUGAGCACACACCAUUCUCGGUGCCAUGACUUUCUGCUGCUGAACCCUGCAUACGUGGCCCAUUGAUCUUGCUAGUCCAGUGUUACUGGGUCCUGGGAGUUUCUGUGGGCUGAUGGCAGGUGUUUACCAUUGUGUUCAGAGGGGAGAACAGAACUUUAUUUGUCGAAAUCAGAUGAUAACCAUUGCCAUGUGAUUCCUUGGGUUGGUUUGGGUGGGGGGUGCUCAAUGCUUUUCCUGAGGGCUAAGUUCUAGUUUGAGACCGUCUCUCUUUGUCGCCCAAGCUGGAGUGCAGUGGUGCGAUCUUGGCUCACUGCAACCUCUGCCUCCUGGUUUCAAGCAGUUCUCCCUGCCUCAGCCUCCCAAGUAGCUGGGAUUAUAGGUGUGUGCCACCACGCUUGGCUAAUUACAAAAAUAUUUAAUAUAGGCUGGGUUUUGCCAUAUUGGUCAGGCUGGUCUCGAACUCCUUGCCUCAAAUGAUCGGCCCACCUUGCCCUCCUAAAAUACUGGGAUUACAGGCUUGAGCCACUGUGCCCGGCCUGAUCCUGACAUCUUUUAAAGCUGCCUUCAUGUACCAAAAGCCAGUCUAUGUUUGAAAAUCAGUCUUGAAGAGCCUAGGAGGAGAGGGAUAAGCUUCAACUAGGUGAAUAACUAUGCAUAU